Molecule: ribosomal RNA, 1346 nt
Filed under: uncultured bacterium
Lineage: Bacteria
Description: partial 16S ribosomal RNA
Rfam family: Bacterial small subunit ribosomal RNA
Source: RNAcentral
GACGAACUUUGGCGGCGUGCUUAACACAUGCAAGUCGAACGGAAAGGCCCUGCUUUUGUGGGGUGCUCGAGUGGCGAACGGGUGAGUAACACGUGAGUAACCUGCCCUUGACUUUGGGAUAACUUCAGGAAACUGGGGCUAAUACCGGAUAGGAGCUCCUGCUGCAUGGUGGGGGUUGGAAAGUUUCGGCGGUUGGGGAUGGACUCGCGGCUUAUCAGCUUGUUGGUGGGGUAGUGGCUUACCAAGGCUUUGACGGGUAGCCGGCCUGAGAGGGUGACCGGCCACAUUGGGACUGAGAUACGGCCCAGACUCCUACGGGAGGCAGCAGUGGGGAAUAUUGCACAAUGGGCGGAAGCCUGAUGCAGCAACGCCGCGUGCGGGAUGACGGCCUUCGGGUUGUAAACCGCUUUCGCCUGUGACGAAGCGUGAGUGACGGUAAUGGGUAAAGAAGCACCGGCUAACUACGUGCCAGCAGCCGCGGUGAUACGUAGGGUGCGAGCGUUGUCCGGAUUUAUUGGGCGUAAAGGGCUCGUAGGUGGUUGAUCGCGUCGGAAGUGUAAUCUUGGGGCUUAACCCUGAGCGUGCUUUCGAUACGGGUUGACUUGAGGAAGGUAGGGGAGAAUGGAAUUCCUGGUGGAGCGGUGGAAUGCGCAGAUAUCGGGAGGAACACCAGUGGCGAAGGCGGUUCUCUGGGCCUUUCCUGACGCUGAGGAGCGAAAGCGUGGGGAGCGAACAGGCUUAGAUACCCUGGUAGUCCACGCUGUAAACGGUGGGUACUAGGUGUGGGGUCCAUUCCACGGGUUCCGUGCCGUAGCUAACGUUUUAAGUACCCCGCCUGGGGAGUACGGCCGCAAGGCUAAAACUCAAAGGAAUUGACGGGGCCCCGCACAAGCGGCGGAGCAUGCGGAUUAAUUCGAUGCAACGCGUAGAACCUUACCUGGGUUUGACAUGGAUCGGGAGUGCUCAGAGAUGGGUGUGCCUCUUUUGGGGUCGGUUCACAGGUGGUGCAUGCCUGUCGUCAGCUCGUGUCGUGAGAUGUUGGGUUAAGUCCCGCAACGAGCGCAACCCUUGUUCACUGUUGCCAGCACGUUAUGGUGGGGACUCAGUGGAGACCGCCGGGGUCAACUCGGAGGAAGGUGGGGAUGACGUCAAGUCAUCAUGCCCCUUAUGUCCAGGGCUUCACGCAUGCUACAAUGGCUGGUACAGAGAGUGGCGAGCCUGUGAGGGUGAGCGAAUCUCGGAAAGCCGGUCUCAGUUCGGAUUGGGGUCUGCAACUCGACCUCAUGAAGUCGGAGUCGCUAGUAAUCGCAGAUCAGCAACGCUGCGGUGAAUACGUUCCCGGGGCU